This 858-nucleotide ribosomal RNA is filed under the name Triticum aestivum (bread wheat). RNAcentral describes it as "partial small subunit ribosomal RNA". The record is from RNAcentral. Lineage: Eukaryota; Viridiplantae; Streptophyta; Magnoliopsida; Poales; Poaceae.
AUGCCACGCCGCUCCUCCGUCGCGAACACCACCUGUGCCACUGGUCCCAUCCCCUCCGCCUGUAGUUCCUCUAACCGAGCACCAAAACGCCCCAUGCGGCACCUCCAAGAAGGGUACGACACACGCAGUGCCGCCGCCGUCCAAUCUAAGGAGAUUUUGGGUUUUCACCCGGGCAUGGGGUCAGGGUGGAGGGCAGGGACCUCGACAACGUCUGAAAGGAGGACAACGGCGACCCUGGUCGUCGCCACCGUCGGGAUGAAUGAGUCAUCCAGAGUUUCCUCCGGUCCGCUGGCACCUCCACCAGCCCCCACGAAUGCACCGAGGCCGACGACCGCGAUCUUAAGCCACAAAGUGCAGCGGGAGAGAGCCUGCAUCACGGAGGAGAUCCACCGGCACCUCACCGCCCACGCGGUCAAGACGUCGUCCAUCCACCCCCCGCGAACGUCGCCAGCCGAGGGCGCCGUCGCCAUGCCUAACGGGGCCGCCGCCCCAGGUCCAGGUUCCUUCACGAUGGCCGGAGUGGCGAGAUCCUCCACAAGCGACGAGAUUCGGCACCGCGUGGCCGACGCCAUUGCCCAAACCAGCCGUCGAUCGAUCCCGCCGCCGCCGGGAGCCCGCCCGCUGCCGGGAGUCCCACACCCAUGGAUCUGGGCGCCCGUGCACCGCCGCGAUCCCGCCGCCUCCGGGAUCCACCACACCAUCUGGAGGGCCGCAUCCCGCAGAUCAGGACGCCCGCGCCACCGGGGAUCCGGGAGAGAGAUGAGAGACCCUCCGCCGCCGCCGUCGCAUGCACGGGCUUUGCCCGGCGCCGGCCAUCGGCAUCGGCGGAGGGGGAGAACCGCGCUGGAGAGUUACUAG